RNAcentral lists this ribosomal RNA (400 nucleotides) under uncultured bacterium. RNAcentral describes it as "bacterial SSU rRNA". It matches the Rfam family "Bacterial small subunit ribosomal RNA", at positions 356 to 773 of the family's 1533-position model. The record is from RNAcentral.
GGGGGAUAUUGCACAAUGGAGGAAACUCUGAUGCAGCAAUGCCGCGUGAGGGAAGACGGUCUUCGGAUUGUAAACCUUUGUCCUUGGUGACGAUAAUGACGGUAGCCAAGGAGGAAGCUCCGGCUAACUACGUGCCAGCAGCCGCGGUAAUACGUAGGGAGCGAGCGUUGUCCGGAUUUACUGGGUGUAAAGGGUGCGUAGGCGGCUCUGCAAGUCAGGUGUGAAAACCAUCGGCUUAACUGAUGGACUGCAUUUGAAACUGUGGGGCUUGAGUGGAGUAGAGGCAGACGGAAUUCCCGGUGUAGCGGUGAAAUGCGUAGAGAUCGGGAAGAACACCAGUGGCGAAGGCGGCCUACUGGGCUUUAACUGACGCUGAAGCACGAAAGCAUGGGUAGCAAAC